CAGGAACAGCUACUCAGGAACUUUCAAUAGUACUGUGUCUUUUAAACCCAGGCUGCAGCAUGGUCCAGUAGAUAGCACCCACUAAUGGGGCUCAGAAAUGCUGGGUUCUCCUCCUGGCUUUGUCACUUAUUUGUUAGGGUCUUGAGAAGUUUCCCAGAGUGGAAUUAUUUAUGAUGUUGAUGAUUAUGCUGUACUGGAAUGUGACGAAAAAUCAAAAAGCUUGUGCUAGUGAGUUUUUAACCUGAAAACUUCAACUGGUUGAAGGGAUCUCUCCAUCACUGUUAGAGACAGCGUGGUCUUGUACUGCAUAUAGGAACCCUCCUUUUCCAAUUCCUACCUCUGUCACUGUCUGCCCUUAAUACCACAUUGCACCUCUGUCUCUUUUUACAAAUGUUCUUCACUUGAUCCCCAGCUGCUGUAAAUUAACAUCAUUGCACUGAAGUCAACAGAACAACGCCGAUCUACACCAGGUUUGAAAGCUGGAAGUCCACCAAAGGUACAGACAAAUGUCUAAAUUCCUUUGAAAGCAAAUGAUUUGCGAAAUACUAGUAUUCAGUGGAAUUAUUUGAUAACAAAUGCUCAGAUUUGUUAGCGUUCAACAACUCCUUAUCUCUACAGUUAAUAAGAAAAGAAGAUGGAAAUACCUGGGACAUGUGUUAAGAAUGAAGCCAGAGCAUCUGCCAUUUGAUCUUUGGAGGAACACACAAAAAAAGCUGACCAAAAAAAUCCCUGUGUCAAACACAACUUUGGGAGGGAAAGGGUAUGGCACUUAAACACACAGGGGACAUGGAAAGGGAUGGCAGAGUCUUGUUGAUGGCUUAAGCAACGUUUGAUGGCUCAGGAGGGAUUCAGAGGAAAUUGCAUCACUGGGAUCUUUUGCGUUCACACAUGCACAAAGCUGGAGCAAGGAAAAUUGUGAAUUCCAAGGAAUUCUUAAUGAUGAAUUAUUAUUCGAUAUAUUAACAUAUAUAGACACAUUAUUAUAGUGUAAUAACAGCUGUCUGUGGUCAACAUGAGGGACUUGGACCUGGGAUCUCCUCUACUGAAAGCAUGAGCUGAAGGAUCAACUCCUCUAGCUGACAGCUGUAGCAGACGCAUAUUUAUGUGGACAAACCAUAUGUGGGCUGACACAAACACAACAGUGGGUACCGGAGCUCCAUAAGUGUACAUGGCACUUUAUUGUCAAGCUUGAAGGCAAAGACCCAGUCCCAAAUUGCAUACAAUAUGAAAAGAACCUACCAGCUAAACGAGUAGUUUAAUUAAGAUUUAUGGCCUUAAUCUUAUUUAGCAUUUAUGAGUUUCCCAUAGAUUUUUAUGGUCCCCAGAAUCUAAGCUUUUAUUUUUAGAAUAAUGAAGUUUCUAUCCCUUUUGAUUGCUCAAAUAGCCUUCAGAAACGAGCCGCCUGGCCUUGUAAAGAACAAAUCAGAUUAGACAAAACUUGAUUGCUUUUCUUGAUAGAAACACAAAAUUAGUAGAUGAAAGGGCUGCAGUCGAUGCGCUAUGUUUUGAUUUUAGUAAUGCAUUUGACACAGUGUCUCGUGAAAUUCUACCUGAACGAGCCAUUCAGAUUGCUUUGGAUAUGGCUCUGUCGUGUGGAUUGCAAACUGCGUCGAUGGACUGCAGUGGGGCAGAAUAACGCUGAAGUCAAUGAGAGAUGCACAUGGUCAGGAAGACAUCUCAGAAUCUGCCCUCCACAAAUGAAUGCGUACCUUUAGAUAAGCUCCAUAAAUCAGCCUGCCACUCAGAGGAGUCCAAACAAAGGUUGAACCGAAUGUGGACCUGUCAGAUCUCAACAAGGCCAAACCAGCAGCUGCCUCCCUGACUUAUCAAACUCCGCACAAUGAAGACAUGGGAAAAAAAAAAAAAGGAUGAACAAAGCACUACUCUUCCCGACAAGCAAAUACAACUUGUCACUUCUGCCAUCGCUGCUCAAUCAAAAGGAAGGGAGCCAUUAUUCCUAAUUACAGGGGAGCCAAAACACAGUUUAUCAAUUACUCCUAGCUGGAAGGCUUGCUUCCGGGUGUGCAGAGAAUUAAUUCUCUUACAGUAACUCCUGGGAGACAGAAGAUUGGUUCUGGUUGAUUUAUAGUGUCAGCAUUUAUUUUUAUUAUUAUUUCAUGAAC
Mauremys mutica (yellowpond turtle) is the source of this 2123-nucleotide long non-coding RNA. RefSeq lists it as uncharacterized. The transcript is spliced from 3 exons. The record is from RefSeq and is a predicted model, not a curated record. NCBI's taxonomy places the organism in Eukaryota, Metazoa, Chordata, Testudines, Geoemydidae.